CUCUGAGGUCAACUGAAGUGUGCAAGUCUCUCUUGUACUAAGGAGUUGUGAAUGAGACUGCCAUUGCUCCGGUCCAGAACAAACCUCACUGGACACCUCAGGCAGAGGGAGACUUCCCCAUGAAUGGAGCCCCUGCACUCCAGGAGUCUUUGCUAAAACAGAGAGAGCGACCAGAAGACUACAGCCGGAACCAGCCCUUUGGCUUUCAAACUCAAUUCAACUUCAAAUAUCUUUACAAAUAACAGACUGCAAUCAUCUGAGAAAGAGAGUGAGGAAUAAGCAUCAGAGACACUAUUGAAGCCAGACUCUGGUCUGGCGGUAAGACACCCAUACACAGUGAGCCUGCCCCUGCUGUCCUCCGAUGGAGACCCCGGGUAGAGCAAGACGCUGCUGCAACGUUACAGGGGGACCCCCAGUAAAGGAGUCAUCCAGAGGGGAACACAGCGUUGCAGUGUGCGACAUGAAUGCAGUGAAAACUACUGAGCUGUCUGUCCACAGUAAGGAGAACAGGCAAAGUCCUGGACACCUAAAGACUAAAGAGGACGAGGAGGACCCCUGGGACAGGAAGGACCCCAGUAACCACACAACCAGGAAGCAUCCCUCAACCACUGGGGGAAAGAAUG
This is a long non-coding RNA of Oncorhynchus tshawytscha (Chinook salmon), 623 nucleotides long. The record is from Ensembl. NCBI's taxonomy places the organism in Eukaryota, Metazoa, Chordata, Actinopteri, Salmoniformes, Salmonidae.